RNAcentral lists this transfer RNA (70 nucleotides) under Fasciola hepatica (liver fluke). Its description in RNAcentral is "tRNA-Thr". It matches the Rfam family "tRNA". Rfam says of the family: Transfer RNA (tRNA) molecules are approximately 80 nucleotides in length. Their secondary structure includes four short double-helical elements and three loops (D, anti-codon, and T loops). Lineage: Eukaryota; Metazoa; Platyhelminthes; Trematoda; Plagiorchiida; Fasciolidae. The record is from RNAcentral.
GGCCUCGUAGCUCAGCUGGUACUGAAGCGAGGGUGGUGAUCGUGCGUGGGUUCGAAUCUCGCCGAGGCCA